Molecule: small RNA, 1067 nt
Filed under: Arabidopsis thaliana (thale cress)
Lineage: Eukaryota; Viridiplantae; Streptophyta; Magnoliopsida; Brassicales; Brassicaceae
Description: ATSL276920
Source: RNAcentral
CAUUUACUAAGUUGUUCAUCUUGUUAUCAUCUUGCCAUUACUCUGUUGCUAUCAUGUUUUCAUUCUAUUCAUCGUUUAUGAUUUCUACUAUGAUGUCUGAGUAGUGAAUAAGUUUUUGAGGAUGGGUUAAAGUAGUUUAGAAUUCUCAGUAUGCUAGGUGGUUGAGUUUGAUUUAUAGAUCCUUCUGGAUUAGUUGUUCUUAAUGCCUAUUGCUUUCUGAUCAACUGGAAUUUGAGCCCAGACAUUUCCACGCCCAAAAGGUGUUCGAUGAAAUAUCUGAACCACUCUAGAGAUUCGUGGCUCUGUACCAAGGUAUUGGUUGCAGGGAGCGUUUUGGCUUUAACUUGUUGAUUUGUAAUGCCUGUUAGGUUAGCUCUCGUCAAUGGUGAUUGAGUCUGGGACAGGUUUAACUUGAGGGUCUCUGUUGCGGUGGCACUUAGAUUUGGUUAUCGAACUUGUCGUCUAGGAAUAAUUUAUUGAGCAUGUCAAUCACCUGUAAACUGAGGAAACAAAACUACUCAAUUACCCCAUCCUCGGGAAUUUUGCAUCCAAUUGAUUUCUUUGUUAACUCUGCUAUUGUUUACUGCAUCUUGUUACUUGUUACUUAGUUUUUGUAUUUUUCUCCUGUUACUCGACCUUAUACUCGAUCACCCAGUUGUCUGGCAACAGACUGUGCAGUGGAGUAUCUCUGUUACAUUUUCUGUCUAUUACUUCACCUGUCACUCGACCACACCCAGUGCUUGGCAACAAGCUGUGUUGGUCUAGUGUUUUUACUGUUCUGCUUAAAUUUCUGUUUUCUAAAUGUUCACUUAGAACUACUAGAACACACCCAAACCUAUUAUUGGUUGGCUUGACUCUGUGAACUCUGAUUGCAUCUUGAUUAUUAGCAUCACACCCAUUUGGAUUGACAACCUAAAAUACUACAACGACAUGAUUGGUGUUUUAGGAUAAUUGACUAAAAACCUAUUAUCAAUGUGCUACAUUCAGAACCAAGGAGGGUUCAACAAGGGCUACAACAACUACAAGCCCAACCCAAACCUCUCCUACAGAAACACUAAUGUAGGUAA